This 389-nucleotide ribosomal RNA is filed under the name uncultured bacterium. Its description in RNAcentral is "bacterial SSU rRNA". It matches the Rfam family "Bacterial small subunit ribosomal RNA", at positions 29 to 418 of the family's 1533-position model. The record is from RNAcentral.
AUUAAACGCUGGCGGCAUGCCUUACACAUGCAAGUCGAACGGCAGCACGGGGGCAACCCUGGUGGCGAGUGGCGGACGGGUGAGUAAUGCAUCGGAACGUGCCCUGAAGUGGGGGAUAACGCAGCGAAAGCUACGCUAAUACCGCAUACUCUGUGAGCAGGAAAGCAGGGGAUCGCAAGACCUUGCGCUUUGGGAGCGGCCGAUGUCGGAUUAGCUAGUUGGUGGGGUAAAGGCCUACCAAGGCGACGAUCCGUAGCGGGUCUGAGAGGAUGAUCCGCCACACUGGGACUGAGACACGGCCCAGACUCCUACGGGAGGCAGCAGUGGGGGAAUUUUGGACAAUGGGCGGAAGCCUGAUCCAGCCAUGCCGCGUGAGUGAAGAAGGCCUC